GCGCUGUUCUCAACUUUACAAGUACCCGUGCAUUUCAUCCUUCCCCAAGGAGCUGAGGAAGAUCAGCUCCAUCACCUCGAUUUAACAGACAAGGAAAUGGAGGCUGAGAGGGGCCCCGUCACCAGCUCGGAAAUCAGCAGCUAAACAAGAAGAAACUAUAUGUGCUGUUUUGCAGAAACCGAUGUCCCCGUUUUGCAGAUGUUGCUAUCUUGCAGAGAAAUUAACACACUCGCUUGCAGCGAGACCCCUGCAAAAUGGUUCCAGCGCCAAGCGUCCUAAAGUUACCUUAAGCUCAUUAGCAUCUUAAAUUCUCCUCCUCUGGGAGGGUCCCAGCCCCCAUUUUCAGAUCAGGGGGUGUACGAAGUGGCAUAUUUACCUGCUACCCACACGCCCUGAGCGAGCACAGUUGUUACACAGCUGUUACCAAUAGACCUGUUAUCCUCUGCUCUGUUGUGGAUGAAGUCUCUGUGGGCACUGAGCCCGAGAGACACUGCGUUGGGGAAACAUCCCAGGUGUUCUCCAUUGCCUGUGCAGGCAAUAAAGCUUUUCUCCACCCACUUCUGCCUUGGCUGUGCUUAGAGAGGUGAACCCAUUGAGUUCGGUUACAUUCACACCUCAGCCUCCAACCAUCCCUAACACACACACACACUCACCAGCAAACAUCCCAGCCAAACUCCCAUCCUGCCUAGAGGGUCCUGGCUACCUCAGGUGACGAGGACAACUCAACGUUAGGGGUGGCUCUGCCAGCCGCACACCUCAAGAUCCACGGGGUUGCUGGUGUGGAGGAGGCGCUGGCAUGGACAGCCUUUCGGCCCCAGAGCCUUUUCUGGUCAGGGCAGCCUGCUGCUGAGGAGACCUGGCUGCAUGCCAGGCUGUGUGCCACCCUGACCUGUGUCCAGGGCCACCACUGCAUGGUCACAGACUGUUGGAGUUGGAAAGGCCCCUCAUUUCACAGGCAGAGAUGCUGUGGCCCCGCAGUCGGUCUCUGCAUCAAAACCAGUGGGCUGCUUGACUAAAAUGCAGAUUCCUGAGCCCCAUUCCGACUUUGCCAAAUCAGAAUGUCUGGGGGUAGAGCCCGGAAGUCUGCUUUUUUAUCUAGUGCCCUUCAGCUCCACCCCCUCCACAACUACCCUCCAGGAGUUCCCCAAAUGUGGCUGCUGUGCAGGUCCACACCCAUCCUCCAGAGAGUCUGCUCCAGGAUGGCGGAGGUGGGGCCUGGGAAUCUGAAUUUCCCCCCCAAGCAUCCUCACCGACUCUUGGGAGACACUGCUUCACCAUUCGGGGAUGCAGCCAUGCAAGGGAUGGAGAUUUCAAAGGCAAACCUAUGAUUGUGUUGUCAUCACUCUGCUUUGGCCUUGGGUGCCCCGGCCCUCCUUCCAGGGAGGAGAACUGUGUUUUAUACCACAGCAUGGCUGCCAAGCAGUGCCAUGUCCGCACCCGGAAUCCAACCAGCGAACCCCGGGCCACCGAGAAGCGGAAUGUGCGAACUUAACCGCUGCGCCACCGGGCCGGCCCCCCAAAGCCGUCUUUAAUGAGCACAUGAGCCUCGCCAUUCCUGGCACUUGAGCCCACUCCCCCCCACACCGGAAACAAGGGCCUUGACCCCCCAGGAAGAGCAGGCUGGAGCACUGCCCUUGCCAUUUCAUCCCACCUGGGACCCCAGGCCUGUCUGAGCACUGGGAGGUGUUUUCUUGUCACCUGCCGCCCCUCUCACCUGUGAGGAUCUGGUAGCUGUGUGUCUGGUCUGUCCGUGAGCUCAAGGCUGGGGCAGAGAAGAGGGGAGGGUGCAGGCCAGAGGUGGUGCUGGCCAGAGGUUGCCCAGGACUGCCCCUGGAGCCAUCCAGCUGACCACUGGCCAAGCUGGAGUUAACCCCUCCCUGCCCAGGGCCGGAUUCUGCCCACCAUGGACACCCCCGCCCCAUCUCUCCUCCCCCAGGCGUGGGGACUAAUGAAAGCUUUACUUCGCAGGAUCUCUUCUUGCUGACUCUUCUAACCGUCUGCUUACCAGUGAGAUACCCUCUAAUCACAGACCACAGAUACGCCCCAGAGGACAAGCUGGGACCCUGGCUGAGACACACUUACAAGUGGCCAUGGUCAUUGCUUCAUUGCUGGAAGCCCCCAUCCCAUCCCACCUCACCCACCCCUCCCACAGGGGGCUGUCCCUGCCUGUCGGAUCACCAUGGUGUCCCAGUUCCCUGCACAGGGCCUGCCAGGGAACCAUCGCCGUUGGAGAAUAGCCCUUUGGACACCCCUCCGGCUCCUCCACUCCUCCCCACCUUUUGCCCAAGAUUCAGACUCAGCAGGUUUGGGUAGGGCCUGAGUCCCUAAAAGCGUCCAAGUGGGUCUGCAGCCCAGCUGGCCCCACCCACCUGCACGCUGAGGUGCUGGGGUUCCAAGGCUAUCCCCCGAGGUGUCUGCAUUCCAGAAGCAAGGAUGGAUGGCCAAGAGUGGAAUUUCAGGCAGUAAGUGCAGUGGUUAUGAACCUGCGCUCAAGAAGUUCAAAUUCCUGAUCUUGACCUUGGGCAAGUCCUUAACCUGCUUGAGCCUCAGUGUCAUCUGUGGAAUGGGGAAGUAAUAGCAUCCACCUUGCAGAGUUGCCGUGAUGAUUAAGUGAGUACCUGGCAGCUAAUGUAUGUAAGUGUGAACGGUUAUUAUAAUCUGUGCUAUUUCUAGGACAGAAAUCUGUUUAGAGGUGGAAAUGUCUUUUAGUCCCUCUGAAAUCAUCUCAAAGGUGCUUUCCUCGUCUCAUGAAAGGCCAGCUCAGCUGCCUGGCCGCAACGUGGACUUUCAGAGACUAGGUGGACCCUAUGUCUGAUCUGGAUUAGACCAUCAGGGCCUUUGAAAUGUUAAUGAGGGUUGUGUUUUGACACUGCCAGUUCAAAGGGAAGCAUUAGGAAGCAGUGUUUCCCCUGGGAAGCGGGCAGGAAAGCCCUGAGGUUGGGGGGAGGGUCAGCGGGGCAGGUGGCCGCUGGUCAUCAAACCUCUACUAGGAGAGUUGGAGAAACCUGUGACAUCACCAAGUCCAAGCCCCCCAUUGUACAGAUGGAGAAAUUGAGGGUGUCACCCUCUGGUGAGGAUGCACAUCCACUGAGAAUCGGUGCCCUAGGAGGUUCCGUGCAGCUGCGGGACAUGUGUAGGGGCAGUGAAGGUGGGAUGGUGAAGCCCUUUAUGCCGUAGAAGGCACCAUGGUGGGGCCCAGGGCUAGUCAGACAGAGCUGGGGGGCAGGGCCCAUGCCUGGGGUCAAGCCCUGACCCAUAACCUCUGCCUGGCCCUUCCUUAACGGGGCAGGCCAACCUAGGCUGACCCCGAGGGAAUAUGAUGAAGAGUGGCUGUGAGGGCCCCUGGAGGCCAGUUCUGCAGCAUCCACCCCUGUUCUGUGCCCUCUUUUGGAACGUAUUUGUGCUGCCCCAAUUUCUAAGAAUUCAGAAACUCCUUCAGGGACCAAACUCAUCCCAGGAAUAAAAACUCAAUUCAGUUCUCCACUAAAACCAUUUCUUCUUUUGAAACGCUUUAUACAGAUGUUGGAUUCCAGGAAAUUCAGGUUUGAAUCCCCAUUCCACUACUUAUUGUUAAAAACAACAUGGAACAAACCUUGACUCUUAGAGCCUCAGUUUCCCCAUCUGUAAAGUAGGGAGAGUCAUCUCUGCUUUGCAGUCUUGCUGAGAAGAUUAAAUUAACUUAAUUUAUUUUAUUAAAUUUAUUUUAUUUAUUAAAUUAAAUUAAUUCAGCCACUCAUUCAACACAUUUUUCCUGAGCACCUACUAUGUGCCAGACAUCGAUGACACAGCAAUGAAUACACGAGAGAGAGACAGCAGCAUGUGCUCAUGGGGCCUUCAGAGUGAUAUCAACCAAUAGUGACCCCAAUAUCUAUGCGACCAAC
Molecule: long non-coding RNA, 3881 nt
Filed under: Equus asinus (donkey)
Lineage: Eukaryota; Metazoa; Chordata; Mammalia; Perissodactyla; Equidae
Description: lncRNA (ENSEASG00005029859.1)
Source: RNAcentral